CAGCUGGAGAGCCCAGCCCAGCAGCAGCUCACAGCCAGGCCCAGCUGCUGCUGGUCUCUCCCCAGGCAAGUCAAGGAUGAGGGGCACUCCAGGGCAGGAGGCAACCAGAUAUCCCAAUCCAAAUACCAACACAAUUCUGCUCUUUCAAGAAUCCAGCUGUGGUGUGGCAGACCAGGUGACAGCUCAUGCCAAGACCCCUAAGUCUCAACUGAACACUGAUCAGUACGUAGCUGGAAGCCGUCUGGCUCACCUGUGGGUUAAUAUUGUUAAAAAAGAAGCCCAGGAAAGCAAGGAGCAUCAAUCAAGCUUCAGAAAGCUGCCAGGCGAACAGGAGAUGAUGGCUUCUUUAAGGCCCCAAUGAGAAGUCCAACAUGGCAGUCCCCAGCAGCAGAACUCUAUGUGACAGUGGUGCCGGAACAGGGGUGGGGCGGGGACCAUAGUCCAUCCACUUUUCCCCAUGGUGGCCCCAGCCCCAUCCCCCUGGCCAGGCCAGCAGCUGGUAUGGGCCAUGCAAACCCUCCACCUGCCUGCAAUGCAGGGGGGCUGAGAGCAGCCCCUGGGCUGUGCCCCUGCCCAGCCCAGGGCAGGUAGAGGUGGAAGGUCUGCGACUCCGUGCCAGCUCCUCACAGCUGCCUGCGGGGUUCUUCCCGACCCAGCUCUGGCUGGGAGGGGAGCCUCAGAGCCACAGUCUGGCCAUGGGAAGAGCAGCGUGGGCAGCUGUGGGAAGUCUGGGUCCCUCCACCUGCCCUGAGUGGGGGGCCCAGGGCCGGGGGCUGCUCUUGCCGGACCCCCUGCACCGCAGGCAGGUGAAGGGUCCAUGUCACAGCUCUCCACAGCUGCCCGUGUGGCUCUUAUCAUGACCGGGUGAUGGCUCCAAGGCUCCUCCCACAACCAGAGCCAGGUUGGGGAGAGCUGUGCGGGCAGCUGUGGGGAGCCUGGGUCCCUCCACCUGCCUUGGGCGGGGGCCUGAGGGGCAGGGACACAGGGAGGGGGAUUGCUUUUGGCCUCACCCCGGGUGCAGGCUCCCCGGCCCCACUCCGACUUCUGGCUUAGCCAGGGGCGGGGUCUCCAGGGGGAAAGAGGACAGGGCCUCGGGGAUAGGGACACCUGCCUCCCCCCCCCCCGUUUUGGGAAGGCUCCGAUGCCUUUGCUAUGCAAUGGCCAGUGUUGCAGUGCAAAUCACAUCACUCCGCAGUAAUAAUUAGGGCUGGUGCAUUGACGCUUGCGGUUCAUUGCUGCGCUCGGCUCCAAUCAGGAAGCUCAGGCGACCAUCUUAUCAGCUCUCAUACACAAAACAGGGCUGGCAGGUCAAUGAGAAGCCCCAGAGCGUUGCAGGAAGUGGUGGUUGUGACGCAACAGGUGGCGCCCUUCCUUCAAGUCGGUGUUGAACUAAUGCUGCAAUGUGUCAGAUUAACAACGGUAGGUCAGCUUUAUGUGCAGGUAUCUGUGUUUUCUGAGGGGAACUAUGAUGGGGUGUGUGCCCCACACUGCCCCAUAAGGGAUUAACAGAGCCCUAUGGAGGCUGUGCAGGAGGCAGACAAUUAGAGAGGGGCUGGGAGAAGCAGCCAAUCAGAGCUGGGCUGGCCCAUAUAAGAAGGGCUGCAGAGCAGCUUCAGUCACUCCCUGGAGCUUGAGGAGGGAGAACUGGCUGCCUUGCAGGAGCUGCACGUUCACAGAGCAGUGCUGGGCAGGAUCAGGGGAGUGAGAGUGAGCUCCCAGCUGACUACUGGCAGACUGAGGCCCUGAGACAAGGGCAGAGAAGGUGCUGGGGCUGCCAGGAAGUGGCCCAGGGAAGUAGACUAAGGGGUUGGAGGGGAUGCAGCAUGUGGCUGCCAUCUACAGGGUCUCUGGGUCAGGACCUGGAGUAGUGGGCGGGCGUGGGUCCCCCUUGCCCCCACUCACCACUAGGGAAGUGGCUGGACAGUGGACUGCUGUGCCCACGGAAGUGGGGGGCACAGAGCGCAGCAUAGCCAGAGGGCUGUGUCAUGAAGAGGACGCUGUGGUCCUGGGACAUCCAGCAGGGGGUGCCGCAGAGGUGAGCCAGACCCCAUCACACUGACACAAAACUGAAGCAUGUUGAUUGUUUGUAAGUUGUCUUCCCCCCUCCUUUUCUGGGCUUCUGUCACUUUGACAUAUUUACAUGAAUAUAGCUGAAAGGGUUUUGAUACUAGAAACCCAUAGCCUCCAAUUUCAGGCCAGGUCUACACUACAGACCUAUAUCGGUAUAACUAUGUUGCUCAGGGGUAUGAAAAAUCCACACCCCUGAGCGAUGUAGUUAUACCAACCUAACCCCCCCAUGUAGACAGAGCUAUGUCAACAGGAAGGCUUCUCCCAUCGACAUAAUCCACCUCCCCGAGAGGCAGUAGCUAACUGUGCUGACAAGGGAAGCUUUCCCAUUGGUGUAGUAGCAUCUUCGCUUAAGCGCUUCAGCUUCUAAGAAGUUCUCAGAAAGUGACGAGAAGGUCAAGCUUUUUGGUUAUGCCCAUUAGGCUUGUUAGGAAACAAUAAGCUAGAGGAGAAGGGAAACGAGUGAAGUCAUGACUGGUUGGGGAGAGGGGUGUAGCUUGUGGCUGGAUUCAACAAGCAUUGGAUUUUGUGAGAGGAGUCACAAAUUGUUAGGAGGGCUCAGCCAACUAGCAUCUAGACAGUUCAGGAAGAUGGUCAGGGCAUCUGAUAAUAUAAGUUUUAUAUUAAAAGUGGUUAGCUCACUUUUCUUUCUUUGUUUUUCCUCAGUCUUCAGAGUGUUGAAUUCACUAGACUGCUGUUUCUCAUACUAACUGUAGUACAUGUGAAAGCUGCUGAUCAAUAUAGCAAAUGAAUUAUAAGCAUUUAGUUAUUACCAAACAUCAGUGUCGGAAUUUCUCUAAUUCAGCGUGCCUUAAAUUGAUGGGAAACAAGUGACUAACUGGCCUGAAAUAAUGAACACCAAAUUCUUCUAAUGUAAAAGUUCAUAAGUGUAAGAUAGAAAAGAUUCAUACUCGUCUCAUGAAAUCUGCCAGAAAUAUCUCUUUGGAUUCUUCAAGAUCAAAGGCGUCAUUGAACGAAACUUUGUCUACCAAAGCAGAAGAACAAAACUAUGAUGAAUAUGAAGAUUCAGCAACGACGACCUUUUCAGAGCCCUCAUUCUCCUCAAAGAACAGCUGCAAUGAUCAUUUAAAUCCCUGUUCCAGGCUCUCUUAAAGCUCUCAACUUCAUUAAAGAGCAGUCUCCUUUUGCCUUUAAAACCACCCAAAAUCCAGGACCAAUCUGUAAUUAUAUUGUGGAACCACAUAAAGAGGCAAAAAUAAAAAAAAACUAUUUGAAAAA
Molecule: RNA transcript, 3306 nt
Organism: Malaclemys terrapin pileata
Lineage: Eukaryota; Metazoa; Chordata; Testudines; Emydidae
Exons: 3
Source: RefSeq, a predicted model, not a curated record